AUGGUGCUCCUUUUCUCCUUUGGUAGUCAUCAGCCCCUCCUUACUCCAUCUCCAAGGGAAAGCAGAGGAAGAAAAGUCACAGAGCCCCUCCGUCCAUGUCGGAGAGCUGGGACAAGGAGCCGAGGGCAGGAGCUGUUCCCUUUGCGGCCCAGACCCCAGGGGCCAUGUCGAUGCUUUUAUUGCACAUGCCAUGCCUUGUCUACCCUGUCCCCCAGCACAGGGAUGGGGCGGGAUGGAGACAGGAUGGGGCGGGAGGAGAGCCACCGCAUUGCUCACCGCCCUCCCCAGGUGCUCUGCUGGGGUUUGCCAGGACAAGACAAAAGCACGCCCACCUCGACGGGUGCUUCACUGCAGACUGGGGAGAGGACCCGGGUUAUUAACGCAAGUACUCAAGGGGAGAGAGGAGGAAAAAAGGAACCCGAACCAAAACCACACCAUACUUGUUUAUGGGAAUGGUUUACACUGACCACAGGAAAUACUGCACAUGUCCAGGCAACCCUCCUGGCCAACCUCCUCAGAGCCAUUACCUCGGCGCAGGCAGGCAGAGCUUGGGCAGGAGCUGCUGGGGUCAGAGCCCGGCCCGCAGCCGAGGAGGCAGUGCCAUGUCUAUCCUCGAGGACACCCGGGGCAGUGCUGGGUGCACGGACAGGAAGGGGGAUGCACAGAUACACCUGGGCACAGAGCAUUCCCUUUUCUCCUCCUCUCUCUGAAAAAAGCAGUACCAGAGCUUUCAGAGGUCACCUCUGUGUGCAACAACAUUUAUCAGGACUUCUGCUUGGAGAGGCUCCUACCUGCUCCAAGUGCCACUGUUUCAGAGCACAACAGCAUGGUUCACGUCCCUCUGCGGGAGCAGCCCUGCAUGCAGGCCCGGUGUGGUCCCAAGCUCCCCGCCAGCCAGCCCGGCUGCCGCCGUCAGCCACGCAGCCCCAACCAGCGCCGCCGCCGUGCCGAGCCAGCAGACCCGGGCGCUCUGACUCACGGCGCGGAGCCGUCCCCGGCCCGCAGAGAAAGUCGGAGGCGAGAGCUGCGGCCGGCGAUGGGGGAGCAGAGGCCAAGCUCCCCAGGCAAAUGUCCCGUCUUGGAGCAGCACGAGCUGAUUGUGCAAUAACACCCCUGUGUGAGCGGGGCUUUGAAAUGCAAAGGCAGAAAGAUCUGUUACGUUCAUGUAGUGCUGUUGUGGUCUAA
RNAcentral lists this long non-coding RNA (1185 nucleotides) under Anser cygnoides (Swan goose). Its description in RNAcentral is "lncRNA (ENSACDG00005010085.1)". The record is from RNAcentral. Lineage: Eukaryota; Metazoa; Chordata; Aves; Anseriformes; Anatidae.